AGAGUUUGAUCAUGGCUCAGGACGAACGCUGGCGGCGCGCCUAACACAUGCAAGUCGAACGGAGCUUGAAGAGCUUGCUUUUUAAGCUUAGUGGCGAACGGGUGAGUAACGCGUGAGUAACCUGCCCUGGAGUGGGGGACAACAGUUGGAAACGACUGCUAAUACCGCAUAAGCCCACGGCCCGGCAUCGGGCUGCGGGAAAAGGAUUUAUUCGCUUCAGGAUGGACUCGCGUCCAAUUAGCUGGUUGGUGAGGUAACGGCCCACCAAGGCGACGAUUGGUAGCCGGACUGAGAGGUUGAACGGCCACAUUGGGACUGAGACACGGCCCAGACUCCUACGGGAGGCAGCA
This 350-nucleotide ribosomal RNA is filed under the name uncultured bacterium. Its description in RNAcentral is "bacterial SSU rRNA". It matches the Rfam family "Bacterial small subunit ribosomal RNA", at positions 8 to 353 of the family's 1533-position model. The record is from RNAcentral.